RNAcentral lists this long non-coding RNA (497 nucleotides) under Gossypium raimondii (Peruvian cotton). RNAcentral's name for it is "long non-coding RNA (GRAI_LNC004634)". Lineage: Eukaryota; Viridiplantae; Streptophyta; Magnoliopsida; Malvales; Malvaceae. The record is from RNAcentral.
UUAGAGGUGUUACACUUCCACUUUGUCUUCUUCCUCAAUCUUUAACCCUAUCCGCCGCUCUUUCCAGGUCAACCCUCCCAUUCUGGCCAUUGACACCCCAUGCCUGUCCCCUCGCUCUCAUCACCGACCACCCUCCCUCUUCCUCAUUGACCCUGCCCUCUCACCUCGUUGCCCCCUUACCAUACCAUUCCAUCUUCCCCCUUACCAUACCAUUCCAACUUGCCCCCCACCUCAGCAAACAUUCCCAGCAGCCCCUCAAUGACCCCCUUCACCUAGCCACCAUCCAAAUUCACCCUUACCCACCUUCGAGCAGGAACAUCCUCAACCCCGAACCACAGUCCCUUUCCCCUCCUUCAAACUAAAAACCACCCCAUUGUCCACCCCUCUCCCCGAUCUCCCUCUUCCGUGUUGAACCACCGCGCCCCUUUUCUCGCCGCACCCAUUGAUCGCCGCUCAAACCUCCAACCACCAUCUCAUUGUCGAUCCUCUCUAUUUCC